CCUACGGGAGGCAGCAGUGGGGAAUAUUGGACAAUGGGCGAAAGCCUGAUCCAGCCAUGCCGCGUGUGUGAAGAAGGCCUUCGGGUUGUAAAGCACUUUCAGUGGGGAAGAAAGCCUUGGGGCUAAUACCCUCGAGGAAGGACAUCACCCACAGAAGAAGCACCGGCUAACUCCGUGCCAGCAGCCGCGGUAAUACGGAGGGUGCGAGCGUUAAUCGGAAUUACUGGGCGUAAAGCGCGCGUAGGCGGUCUGAUAAGCCGGUUGUGAAAGCCCCGGGCUCAACCUGGGAACGGCAUCCGGAACUGUCAGGCUAGAGUGCAGGAGAGGAAGGUAGAAUUCCCGGUGUAGCGGUGAAAUGCGUAGAGAUCGGGAGGAAUACCAGUGGCGAAGGCGGCCUUCUGGACUGACACUGACGCUGAGGUGCGAAAGCGUGGGUAGCAAACAGGAUUACAUACCCCUGUAGUC
Molecule: ribosomal RNA, 465 nt
Filed under: Vreelandella stevensii
Lineage: Bacteria; Pseudomonadati; Pseudomonadota; Gammaproteobacteria; Oceanospirillales; Halomonadaceae
Description: partial 16S ribosomal RNA
Rfam family: Bacterial small subunit ribosomal RNA
Source: RNAcentral